CGCUAGCGGCAGGCCUAACACAUGCAAGUCGAGGGGUAACAGGAAAGCUUGCUUUCGCUGACGACCGGCGCACGGGUGCGUAACGCGUAUGCAACCUACCUCAUACUGGAGGAUAGCCCUUGGAAACGAGGAUUAAUACUCCAUAGUAUCACGAAUUCGCAUGUUUUUGUGAUUAAAGUUUUUCGGUAUGAGAUGGGCAUGCGUCCCAUUAGCUAGUUGGUGAGGUAACGGCUCACCAAGGCGACGAUGGGUAGGGGGCCUGAGAGGGUGGUCCCCCACACUGGUACUGAGACACGGACCAGACUCCUACGGGAGGCAGCAGUGAGGAAUAUUGGUCAAUGGAGGCAACUCUGAACCAGCCAUGCCGCGUGAAGGAUGACGGCCCUAUGGGUUGUAAACUUCUUUUAUAUGGGAAGAAACUUAUCUACGUGUAGAUAACUGACGGUACCAUACGAAUAAGGAUCGGCUAACUCCGUGCCAGCAGCCGCGGUAAUACGGAGGAUCCAAGCGUUAUCCGGAUUCAUUGGGUUUAAAGGGUCCGUAGGCGGGUCUUUAAGUCAGUGGUGAAAGCCGACAGCUCAACUGUCGAACUGCCAUUGAUACUGGAGACCUUGAGUACAAAUGAAGUAGGCGGAAUGAGUCAUGUAGCGGUGAAAUGCAUAGAUAUGACUCAGAACACCGAUUGCGAAGGCAGCUUACUAACAUGUAACUGACGCUGAGGGACGAAAGCGUGGGGAGCGAACAGGAUUAGAUACCCUGGUAGUCCACGCCGUAAACGAUCAUCACUCGCUGUUGGCGAUAUACUGUCAGCGGCCAAGCGAAAGUAUUAAGUGAUGCACCUGGGGAGUA
Molecule: ribosomal RNA, 849 nt
Filed under: uncultured Bacteroidota bacterium
Lineage: Bacteria; Pseudomonadati; Bacteroidota
Description: bacterial SSU rRNA
Rfam family: Bacterial small subunit ribosomal RNA
Source: RNAcentral